AAAUCUGGAUCUGAAGCAAAUAUAGUAAGUAAAUCUUAUAAGAAAUGUUUAUAGAUUUUAGAGCGCUGUUUUUAUAGAAGUGAGGUAAUUAAUACUGAGCUUGGGAUCCGAUCAGGGCAUUCUUUUUGUCCCUGCAACCCCCUAGUGUUUUAACAGAUUCCUGGCAUUGCUCUCUAGAACGGGUAUGAAAUAAUUAAAUUUGUCUUAGUUUCAAUUUGCAUAGUAAUGUCACUGUGGAUUAAAUUGAGGUGGAAAUCCUUUAUAGGAAAGUGUUUACUUUCCCAAUGCAUGUCUGUUUCAUAUUUUGUAUUCCUGUUGGAAUGUUUAUGCUAUGUUUGGCUAUUCAUAAUGAAAGAGGAGAAGCAUUAUAUUUUAUAAGAGAUGCAGUCAGAACCAGUUUGAAGUGGUUUUGCACGGAAGUAGACAAGCACCUUACUCCUCCUUUUUAGCUAACAAUAUAAGAAGGAUUGAUCUUUUGUGCCAUGCAUCCCAGCUGCCCAAUUCAUUUUAGAUCUGUUGCUGAUGUUUAAAUUGAUUGUUUUUCAUUUCUUCAGCAUGCAGCUACUAUGGCUCUUGGU
RNAcentral lists this unclassified non-coding RNA (578 nucleotides) under Hevea brasiliensis (rubber tree). The record is from RNAcentral. Lineage: Eukaryota; Viridiplantae; Streptophyta; Magnoliopsida; Malpighiales; Euphorbiaceae.